AACGUAGGUGGCAAGCGUUACUCGGAUUUACUAGGCGUAAAGCGGAUGUAGGCGGGCAGUUAAGUUCCUUGUUUAAGCUCCAGGCUUAACCUGGAGAGGUCAAGGAAAACUGGUUGUCUUGAGUAAGGUAGGGGAGACUGGAAUUCCCGGUGUAGCGGUGAAAUGCGUAGAUACCGGGAGGAACGCCAAUGGCGAAAGCAGGUCUCUGGGCCUUCACUGACGCUGAGAUCCGAAAGCUAGGGGAGCAAACAGG
This 253-nucleotide ribosomal RNA is filed under the name uncultured bacterium. RNAcentral's name for it is "partial 16S ribosomal RNA". It matches the Rfam family "Bacterial small subunit ribosomal RNA", at positions 524 to 776 of the family's 1533-position model. The record is from RNAcentral.